CCCGCGCCGUAUUAGCUAGUUGGUGGGGUAACGGCCUACCAAGGCGACGAUACGUAGCCGACCUGAGAGGGUGAUCGGCCACACUGGAACUGAGACACGGUCCAGACUCCUACGGGAGGCAGCAGUAGGGAAUCUUCCGCAAUGGGCGAAAGCCUGACGGAGCAACGCCGCGUGAGUGAUGAAGGUCUUCGGAUCGUAAAGCUCUGUUGUUAGGGAAGAACAAAUGUGUAAGUAACUGUGCACAUCUUGACGGUACCUAACCAGAAAGCCACGGCUAACUACGUGCCAGCAGCCGCGGUAAUACGUAGGUGGCAAGCGUUAUCCGGAAUUAUUGGGCGUAAAGCGCGCGUAGGCGGUUUUUUAAGUCUGAUGUGAAAGCCCACGGCUCAACCGUGGAGGGUCAUUGGAAACUGGAAAACUUGAGUGCAGAAGAGGAAAGUGGAAUUCCAUGUGUAGCGGUGAAAUGCGCAGAGAUAUGGAGGAACACCAGUGGCGAAGGCGGCUUUCUGGUCUGCAACUGACGCUGAUGUGCGAAAGCGUGGGGAUCAAACAGGAUUAGAUACCCUGGUAGUCCACGCCGUAAACGAUGAGUGCUAAGUGUUAGGGGGUUUCCGCCCCUUAGUGCUGCAGCUAACGCAUUAAGCACUCCGCCUGGGGAGUACGGUCGCAAGACUGAAACUCAAAGGAAUUGACGGGGACCCGCACAAGCGGUGGAGCAUGUGGUUUAAUUCGAAGCAACGCGAAGAACCUUACCAAAUCUUGACAUCCUUUGACCGCUCUAGAGAUAGAGUUUUCCUCUUCGGAGGACAAAGUGACAGGUGGUGCAUGGUUGUCGUCAGCUCGUGUCGUGAGAUGUUGGGUUAAGUCCCGCAACGAGCGCAACCCUUGAACUUAGUUGCCAUCAUUCAGUUGGGCACUCUAAGUUGACUGCCGGUGACAAACCGGAGGAAGGUGGGGAUGACGUCAAAUCAUCAUGCCCCUUAUGAUUUGGGCUACACACGUGCUACAAUGGACAAUACAAAGGGCAGCGAAACCGCGAGGUCAAGCAAAUCCCAUAAAGUUGUUCUCAGUUCGGAUUGUAGUCUGCAACUCGACUACAUGAAGCUGGAAUCGCUAGUAAUCGUAGAUCAGCAUGCUACGGUGAAUACGUUCCCGGGUCUUGUACACACCGCCCGUCACACCACGAGAGUUUGUAACACCCGAAGCCGGUGGAGUAACCAUUUUGGAGCUAGCCGUCGAAGGUGGGACAAAUGAUUGGGGUGAAGUCGUAACAAGGUAGCCGUAUCGGAAGGUGCGGCUGGAUCACCUCCUUU
RNAcentral lists this ribosomal RNA (1313 nucleotides) under Staphylococcus pseudintermedius. Its description in RNAcentral is "bacterial SSU rRNA". It matches the Rfam family "Bacterial small subunit ribosomal RNA", at positions 230 to 1533 of the family's 1533-position model. The record is from RNAcentral. Lineage: Bacteria; Bacillati; Bacillota; Bacilli; Caryophanales; Staphylococcaceae.